Long non-coding RNA from Daphnia pulicaria, 872 nucleotides. RefSeq lists it as uncharacterized. The record is from RefSeq and is a predicted model, not a curated record. The transcript has 3 exons. NCBI's taxonomy places the organism in Eukaryota, Metazoa, Arthropoda, Branchiopoda, Diplostraca, Daphniidae.
GGAGAUAAUAGGUAUUUUCCCACUACUGCUACCACACCAACCACACUACUGCCAAAUGCCUUACUAAAUCAUCACCCAAAUGAUAAAGGAAAUUUAUCCCACCUGAGGAGUAAUGCUGUUGGCGGUUUUUCAUAAUGAACAUUGCAGUGUGCUUCUUAGAAAAGAUUAAUAUCCUUUUUUAAUUUUUAUAAUUUCAUUGCAACACAUUUUUUUUUAUAGAGCAUGCAAGAUCCCCACGAACAUCCUUGAGCAAUUGAAUGCUGGAUUUUGUCCAUGACAGAAGAGGGCUUCCACCAACGUUCUGCUCCAUCCUUAUCUUCAAGACGUACGCUCCCUACGCUCACCCAGCUUCACUGCUUCAGUGCUUCUUUGUUGCUUCACUGGCGAGUUAGUUCACUUCAGUUGCUGUGACACACCUGCAGUCACUCACAACGGGAUUAUGGACAGGUAAUGCAGAGGAGACGUCGAGAAGAUGGACACUUAAACAUCUCCGUUAUCUCCAAAAUGUCAGCGCGGAUCAUCAUUUGUUGUUGGUAAUAUUUGUGUUUGUGUUAGUUAACCCGUUGUCUGCCACGCCUUUGUUCUCCCCUUGCUCCUUUGCACGGGCCGCGGGGUCGCGGGGUCGGAAUGUCGCCAAGCCCAAAAUUUGCCGCAAGGCAAGCCUAUUAGGCAAUGCACCAUAGUUCCCCCUUGUCGAUGCGGUGACUUGUCAGCAAUGACAAGCCCCACCUUGGUCAUGGAUCCUUCAGACAUGGCGCGUAGAGAGUAAAGAACAACCUACGGGUUGUAUGGCGUGGCAGCCAACAGGUUAACUGAAGUGUAUGUAUUGUAAAAGGUGGUGGAAUUGUGGCUGGAGUUGGGACAAUAAAGCA